UACGUAGGUGGCAAGCGUUGUCCGGAAUUAUUGGGCGUAAAGGAUGCGUAGGUGGUAGUUUAAGUGGGAUGUGAAAGCCACAGGCUUAACCUGUGAAUGGCAUUCCAAACUGGACUACUAGAGUGCAGGAGAGGAAAGUGGAAUUCCUAGUGUAGCGGUGAAAUGCGUAGAGAUUAGGAGGAACACCAGUGGCGAAGGCGACUUUCUGGACUGUAACUGACACUGAUGCAUGAAAGCGUGGGGAGCAAAC
Molecule: ribosomal RNA, 250 nt
Filed under: uncultured bacterium
Lineage: Bacteria
Description: partial 16S ribosomal RNA
Rfam family: Bacterial small subunit ribosomal RNA
Source: RNAcentral